GACGAACGCUGGCGGCGUGCCUAAUACAUGCAAGUAGAACGCUGAAGGAGGAGCUUGCUUCUCUGGAUGAGUUGCGAACGGGUGAGUAACGCGUAGGUAACCUGCCUGGUAGCGGGGUUAACUAUUGGAAACGAUAGCUAAUACCGCAUAAGAGUAGAUGUCGCAUGACAUUUGCUUAAAAGGUGCAAUUGCAUCACUACCAGAUGGACCUGCGUUGUAUUAGCUAGUUGGUGAGGUAACGGCUCACCAAGGCAACGAUACAUAGCCGACCUGAGAGGGUGAUCGGCCAAACUGGGACUGAGACACGGCCCAGACUCCUACGGGAGGCAGCAGUAGGGAAUCUUCGGCAAUGGACGGAAGUCUGACCGAGCAAAGCCGCGUGAGUGAAGAAGGUUUUCGGAUCGUAAAGCUCUGUUGUAAGAGAAGAACGAGUGUGAGAGUGGAAAGUUCACACUGUGACGGUAUCUUACCAGAAAGGGACGGCUAACUACGUG
RNAcentral lists this ribosomal RNA (494 nucleotides) under uncultured bacterium. RNAcentral's name for it is "partial 16S ribosomal RNA". It matches the Rfam family "Bacterial small subunit ribosomal RNA", at positions 28 to 507 of the family's 1533-position model. The record is from RNAcentral.